GUAAUGCCCUUCCCUGCAGCCAACUCCAUACAGUUCAGCCCAUGAUGGAGUGGUGGUAGGAACCAGUGGCAGCAUGGUUGUCAGGAGCCCAUUCUUCCAGCAGGAGGGUGUCUAGGGUUGAGUGGUACAUCAUCUGGAUAAGUCUGGGUCUGAAGGUUGAAGACUCAUUUUCCUGCCAAUCCUCAGAUUCUAAGAAAACUAAAGGCUACUACCUACUAAAAGAGUGAAAAAUAGACUCAGUUUUGCAAAUAUUAAAAAAUGCUAAGGAAGAAAUAUACAUGGUUAGCUUAAAAACUGGAAUACCCUACUGAAGGUUUGAAAAAUGAUGUUGAUGUUCCCUGAUGGUCCAGAGAACAUUUUUUUAUAUUGAGAACCAAUAACAUCCUGACUUCAGUAUUCCCUUGACAACACCUAGUUCUUCUUAGCAAUUUAUUAUGGAGCUGGAGAAAAUUUACACUUAUUUUUGUACUAUGCAUAUUGAAUUAUGCCCGACCAGCACAACCCUUUAGAG
This 511-nucleotide long non-coding RNA is filed under the name Crocodylus porosus (Australian saltwater crocodile). Its description in RNAcentral is "lncRNA (ENSCPRG00005014777.1)". The record is from RNAcentral. Lineage: Eukaryota; Metazoa; Chordata; Crocodylia; Crocodylidae.